Molecule: ribosomal RNA, 549 nt
Filed under: uncultured bacterium
Lineage: Bacteria
Description: bacterial SSU rRNA
Rfam family: Bacterial small subunit ribosomal RNA
Source: RNAcentral
GGGCGAAGCCUGACUAUGCGACGCCGCGUGAGGGAUGAAGGUUCUCGGAUCGUAAACCUCUUUUUGCAGGAAAGAAACCUUUGAUGGAAAUACCAUCGAAGCUGACGGUACCUGCAGAAUAAGCCACGGCCAACUCCGUGCCAGCAGCCGCGGUAAUACGGAGGUGGCAAGCGUUACUCGGAAUCAUUGGGUGUAAAGGGCAAGUAGGCGGUCUAUUAAGUGAGGGGUGAAAUCCUGCGACUCAAUCGCAGAACUGCCUUUCAAACUGGUAGGCUUGAGAGUGGAAGAGGAAAAUGGAAUUCUCGGUGUAAGGGUGAAAUCUGUAGAUAUCGAGAAGAACACCAGCGGCGAAGGCGAUUUUCUGGUCCAUUUCUGACGCUGAAUUGCGAAAGCUAGGGGAGCAAACAGAAUUAGAUACUCUGGUAGUCCUAGCCGUAAACGAUGAGCACUAGGUGUUGGCCCUUUACGGGGUCAGUGCCGCAGCUAACGCAUUAAGUGCUCCACCUGGGGACUACGGUCGCAAGGCUAAAACUCAAAAAAAUUGACGGA